AGCUUAUGCAAUAAGACAAGAAGACUCAUUCUUCUUUUCUGUUGACUUGGUCUGUGACGCUUAUCUCAGCAAAAUCCUAGUCCCCAGGCUUUCCUUGAUAAACCAGAAUCGGAAUUGGAUUAGGAAAAGGCCACUCCUAAAGAAGGGAACUGGGACACUGAUGGAAACUGAUGGAGCCAAUGUCAGAAAGACACUAGCUGCAGGAGGAUACCCAGCAAAUUAAUAGGCUGAUUUUAAGAAACCCCAUCCCCAAAGGCAAAGGAUGUAAACAGAAGACUGGAAAACAGAAAGAGAAGACAAAAGAAAAAAAAUCUUUCCAAUUCUUUCUUAAAAAAAAGAGGUUCACCUCCUUUAAACAAGCCAACAAGAGGAGGUCUAUAGGUAGAGCAGAUGCAGCCUGGAGAAGAAUUUGUUUUUUAAAGUGAAAUGUGAGCAUUCACCUUGUCUUCCAUUCCUGUUAUUAACAAGAAUAACCUUUUUAAUAAAAUUGAAUAGUUCAUUAUUAGUCAGUCUCCAUGCAGGAUAAUUGAUUUUUGCUAUAUUCUUAAUCUCCACAUCCAGUUGCACUGUGGUCUGGUUAGAAUACACAACACAACUGCCUGUAUGUCCACCGAGCAGUAUUAGAAGAAACAAAAACACAAAAUACAGAUUUUUACUAUAAGAGCAAACACUUUUCCUGUAUUUACCUCAAGCAUUUUUCUAAACAUGUUCUGCCUACAUAUUUAUAAAGUGUGUUUAUACACAACUGUCCAAAUAAAAGGCCUAUAGUAGGAAUUCAACCAUAAUUACACACUUGUGUGUCACAUGGUUUGGCCAUUUUGAACUGUGUCAAAUAACAUUAUGUUUGUCCUUCAUACUUGAUAGGUGAAGGAUUGAUGAUAGUUGUGUAGCUUAAAGCUUUCUUAAAUAAUAUAACUCUCUUAAAUAAUUCAGUGCCAGAGCUUCAUCAUUACUGAGGUUUAUUAGCUUUUUCUUCAACAAGUAAGUUGUAACAUUUCCAUAUUUUGCUACAUGUCAUGACUGACUUUGUACUGAAUGAAAUAGCAAAAUGCUUGUAACGCUAGUCAUGGAAGGCUUCACCUCAACUAUGGUUUGGUGCAAAAACAAAACAAAAAACCCACAAUCCUUACACAAAACCAGAAAAAGCUGG
Molecule: long non-coding RNA, 1150 nt
Organism: Chelonia mydas (Green sea turtle)
Lineage: Eukaryota; Metazoa; Chordata; Testudines; Cheloniidae
Exons: 3
Source: RefSeq, a predicted model, not a curated record